CAGUCGCCACGGUAAUACGAAGGGUGCAAGCGUUACUCGGAAUUACUGGGCGUAAAGCGUGCGUAGGUGGUGGUUUAAGUCCGUUGUGAAAGCCCUGGGCUCAACCUGGGAAUUGCAGUGGAUACUGGGUCACUAGAGUGUGGUAGAGGAUAGUGGAAUUUCCGGUGUAGCAGUGAAAUGCGUAGAGAUCGGAAGGAACAUCUGUGGCGAAGGCGACUAUCUGGGCCGACACUGACACUGAGAGACGAAAGCUAGGGGAGCAAAUGGGAUUAGAUACCCCAGUAGUCCCUGUCUCUUAUAC
This 301-nucleotide ribosomal RNA is filed under the name uncultured bacterium. RNAcentral's name for it is "partial 16S ribosomal RNA". It matches the Rfam family "Bacterial small subunit ribosomal RNA", at positions 509 to 807 of the family's 1533-position model. The record is from RNAcentral.